UUAAGUUCAGUGGGUAUCCCUACCUGAUCCGAGGUCAACCUGGAAAAAUUUUGGGGUUGUUGGCAAGCUACCUACCGGUCUCAAUCGCGAGGAGUAUUACUACGCGUAGAGCCGACAGGCACCGCCACUGAUUUUAGGGGCCGCGAGACCGCGAACCCCAAUACCAAGCAAAUGCUUGAGUGGUUAUAAUGACGCUCGAA
Molecule: unclassified non-coding RNA, 200 nt
Filed under: Sordariomycetes sp.
Lineage: Eukaryota; Fungi; Ascomycota; Sordariomycetes
Description: partial internal transcribed spacer 2
Source: RNAcentral